GAUACUGCUCUUUUGUUGACUGUCCCAUUAUAGGCGCAUUUCAGGCCCACAGGACAUCAUUGAAUACGGAUCAUAGGAUCCCAAGGAAACGUGAACAUUUUUCUCUCGAUUAUCUUCUGAAUUGAAGACUGUAUGGUAGUAAGUUUACAGUUUCUUGAACGUUUCAAGGUCCGUUUCUUUCAGAGUUAUAAUUUGGUACCCACAACGCGCAGCAUCCAGCUGACCUACCGUUGCUAUGGUUACCUGCACUUUGCGGAGCGCAAGGUGCAACCUUGGUUGAUCGGAUACUUCCUUACCUCGUUUCGAUUAGUGACUGGAUUGAAAUCCAGUUGAUAGUGGGAUUAGAGUUUUUUGAUAACACAACACCUCUGUAAAAUUUUAAUUGUAUUUAUUUUGUGAUUUAUUUUGACUUUUAAAUCAAUUGCUAUUACUGGGCCCACUUGGAUGUGAGCUGCCCCGAGUUCACAGUUACGCACGAUUGUUAUUCGGCACUUGUAAACAGUCCAGUCUUCUGAUAAACAACAUGCAUUCGAGUCUGGGGCACCGGCUCAGAUUCAGUGGGAAAUGUGCUGCUUGUGACGCUUCGCGCCAUAAAUCCAACAAAGUGCGGCUGCUCCUCGUGACUGCGAACAGUCCGCGAGCUCUCCACAGUGUCACAGAUGACAGACAGGCAGUAGACAGACGGCGGAAGUUACUUUCUAUAUGUUUAUUUUCCUCUAAAGCGAAAGAGAAACUCUCGCCAACCAAUAUACUGCGAACGGGGGUGUUCCCAGGGAGUCAACUCGUCCGUGGGUAUCAGGAAUACGUGUCAGAGUGAGAGCUCUGUGCCGCAGUCUGCUCUCUGCGGUGUAACCGGAUCAGGACAGGGCAGACGGGUGUACAGGAGGCUUGUUUGCUUCCGAAUGAACCAAUGAGAUCGGCUUUACAUUAGAGUGACAGCCGGACUCAGCGAGUCCGGAGACGCCAUUCAGGUUCAACCGCCCCGCCACAGCCAAUACGGAUCCACGACGCACGGGAGCGGAGGGAAAGAAGAAAAUACGAAUUUGUCUCCCUGUAGGUCAAAGCCGUUACCUGCCACCUGUGAGACAGAGCGGCCUGCGUGCGGGAGCAAAAGGUGGAAGAAACAGCGGCAACAACCAUGGCUCUGUCGCAGUGCUUGGACGACUCUCCUCUGAGACUGUGUCCAAAACGCACCGGGGCCGACGACCUGAACCUUCAGGAGGUGUACAACGAGAGACACCGGCUGGCCCUGGAGGAGCUGCUGUCCGGGGGGCUCGACCACUUCCAGGACUUCCUCGCCAAGGAGAGGAUCCCCAACUUCCUGUCGGACGAUGAGAUCCGACGCAUCAGGAGCACCGCGGUGCCGCCCCGCUGCGUGUCCGUGCACGGCGACGACCAGCUGCUGGAGCAGUCGCUCAGCAGCUCCCUCGACUGCUCCUCCGUCACCUAUUUCCCCGAGGUGUCGGACGUGGAGCCGCCGGUGCUGGAGAUGGGCUGGCCCGCCUUCACCGCGGGGUCCUACCGGGGAGUCACACGGGCCGUGGCGCACUUCCAGCCCAGCUACGGGGAGUGCAUCUACAGCUGCAAGGAGGCUGCGAGGCGUCUGAUCAAAAGUGCCAGAGAGGUGAUUGCCAUAGUUACAGACUCCCUGACAGACCUGGAUAUCUUUAAAGAUCUUCAGGAGGCCUGUUCCCAACGCAGAGUCCCUGUCUACAUCCUGUUGGACCAAUUAGGUGCUCCCGCUUUUCUCAAGAUGUGCAGAGAUGUCGGUGUUCGCCUGGAUGACCUCUGGCAAAUGAAAGUACGAACCAUAACUGGCACGACUUAUUACAUGAGAUCAGGAGCGAGGAUUACUGGGAAAGUUCAUGAGAGGUUCAUGCUGAUUGAUGGAAACAGAGUUGCUACAGGUUCCUACAGAUUUAACUGGACUGAUGGCAAGCUGAACAGCAGCAAUCUCAUUGAACUUUCUGGCCAGAUAACAGAGAAGUUUGACGAGGAGUUCCGCAUCCUCUAUGCCCAGUCUCUACCCGUAAGCGCUCGAGGACCCCCAAGUGUCCGAAACAGCGGCAUCUACGAGCACCUCCUCAUCAAACACUCAGUCACCUCCUCCCCUCACUUGGCCAGAGAGAGGCCUGUGGAGCCAGUGUGUCUGACCAGCACGCCCAGCCGCAAGCCCAAGACCUUAGCGGUACAGCCCGCAUGUGACCCUUCGACUCCAGAUUGUCUUAAAUCCAGCCCAGCGUCUGACUCCUCCACCAUAGGUGAGAACUCGACGGAGCAGCGUCACAUGCAGGAGGAGAUCCUGGCUGGUAGCACCAUUCAGCGUUUCCCCGCAGAGCAGCUACCAGUGAAAGAACCCGUGAUACCAGGCACCGUCUCCUGCCAUGCCUCCACUCAGACCAGCAAGUCGGUGACGGACAGAGACACGCAGACUGACCUCCAGCUGACACAACACCAUGACAUCACCACACGGACAAGCACAGGACCAAACCAGGCCACCUCUCCCUCCAUCUCGUCGUCCACGCAGAUCUCGCCCGCCCAGGCAGCUCCAGACGGCACCUUGAAGGACUGCUACCACAAGCUGACCAAGGAGCGUCAGCACCACUACUCUGCCAUCCGCUCCAAGCUGGAACACAUGGUGACCACACUGUCGCAGAGGCGAGAGCUGGCGGACGUCACCAACGUGACUCAGGGGCUUGGCGCUCACAGCAGGCAGAGGGCACACAAAGACUUGGAGGAGGAGCCAAACCCCAGACUGCUUGUUGAAAGUGCAGGCAAGGGCACAUGGCCAAGAGCCAGAUGUGUACACUAGUUUUUCUACAGGGAUUUGGGUGAUGGAGGGUAGUGGGCAAACGGCUCUUGCAAGGUGUCAUGGGGAUCUUCUGUUUCAUAUGAAGAAUUAUUGGGGGGAGGGCGGAGGUGGUUUGUCUUUUCUGCUGUGCCUACUUUUCAUGCUGCGUCCUGAGCAUGUCAAAACAAUAUUCGGUGACAUGGUAAUGCAUGAUUGUAACCGACACAAACAUCUUGUAAAUAUUAAUUUUGACCAAAGACACGGUGCAAUAAUCAGCUUUUUGACUGUCAGUUUAAUGAAUAUCAUUUGCUGCGGUGGUUAAGACUGGAUAAUAUCUACUGUAGUAUGAAUGAAAAUGCACGUUUUUGUUAUUUUAAUCACAUUUGGCUACUGUAACUACAUCUGAUCGUCAUUCCAGAGAGCAGCUGGCUCUCACUGUGCCUUCCUGAUGAAUAAAGGAGCAUUUUUUUCUUAUUUA
Molecule: RNA transcript, 3269 nt
Organism: Scophthalmus maximus (turbot)
Lineage: Eukaryota; Metazoa; Chordata; Actinopteri; Pleuronectiformes; Scophthalmidae
Gene: sack1d
Gene name: family with sequence similarity 83 member D
Exons: 5
Source: RefSeq, a predicted model, not a curated record